GACGAACGCUGGCGGCGUGCUUAACACAUGCAAGUCGAACGGAAAGGCCCCUUUGGGGGUACUCGAGUGGCGAACGGGUGAGUAACACGUGAGUAACCUGCCCUUGACUUCGGGAUAACUUCAGGAAACUGGGGCUAAUACCGGAUAGGAAUCCUUGCUGCAUGGUGGGGGUUGGAAAGCUUCGGCGGUUUUGGAUGGACUCGCGGCUUAUCAGCUUGUUGGUGGGGUAGUGGCUUACCAAGGCUUUGACGGGUAGCCGGCCUGAGAGGGCGACCGGCCACAUUGGGACUGAGAUACGGCCCAGACUCCUACGGGAGGCAGCAGUGGGGAAUAUUGCACAAUGGGCGGAAGCCUGAUGCAGCAACGCCGCGUGCGGGAUGACGGCCUUCGGGUUGUAAACCGCUUUCAGCAGGGGCGAAGCUUGUGGUGACGGUACCUGCAGAAGAAGCACCGGCUAUCUACGUG
This 465-nucleotide ribosomal RNA is filed under the name uncultured bacterium. RNAcentral's name for it is "partial 16S ribosomal RNA". It matches the Rfam family "Bacterial small subunit ribosomal RNA", at positions 28 to 507 of the family's 1533-position model. The record is from RNAcentral.